UCCGUAGGUGGAUAAUUAAGUCAGAGGUGAAAGUCUGCAGCUCAACUGUAGAAUUGCCUUUGAUACUGGUUAUCUUGAGUUAUUAUGAAGUAGUUAGAAUAUGUAGUGUAGCGGUGAAAUGCAUAGAUAUUACAUAGAAUACCAAUUGCGAAGGCAGAUUACUAAUAAUUGACUGACACUGAUGGACGAAAGCGUGGGGAGCGAACAGGAUUAGAUACCCUGGUAGUCC
RNAcentral lists this ribosomal RNA (229 nucleotides) under uncultured bacterium. RNAcentral's name for it is "partial 16S ribosomal RNA". It matches the Rfam family "Bacterial small subunit ribosomal RNA", at positions 568 to 796 of the family's 1533-position model. The record is from RNAcentral.